AUAAGGAUGAGGAUGGUGCUAUGUGUUAGAGAAUUACAAAAGGGAAAGGUGAGAAAUUGAGAGUAGAAAGAAGAAUGACGAAGUUUACACUCUCCUGAGGAAGGACCCUCAAGAGAGGACCUUAUAAACACAAUUAGCUACUGGAAAAGACGGAAAAAAUUAUGGCACAAUGAAGAAAAUAAUGUUCAAGGCUCAGUGGAAGAAAAAGAAAAGAGGAGGUCUC
Molecule: long non-coding RNA, 223 nt
Organism: Cercocebus atys (sooty mangabey)
Lineage: Eukaryota; Metazoa; Chordata; Mammalia; Primates; Cercopithecidae
Exons: 3
Source: RefSeq, a predicted model, not a curated record